This 593-nucleotide ribosomal RNA is filed under the name Trametes sp. RNAcentral describes it as "partial large subunit ribosomal RNA". It matches the Rfam family "Eukaryotic large subunit ribosomal RNA", at positions 51 to 628 of the family's 3401-position model. The record is from RNAcentral. Lineage: Eukaryota; Fungi; Basidiomycota; Agaricomycetes; Polyporales; Polyporaceae.
CGGAGGAAAAGAAACUAACAAGGAUUCCCCUAGUAACUGCGAGUGAAGCGGGAAAAGCUCAAAUUUAAAAUCUGGCGGUCUUUGGCCGUCCGAGUUGUAGUCUGGAGAAGCGUCUUCCGCGUUGGACCGUGUACAAGUCUCUUGGAACAGAGCGUCAUAGAGGGUGAGAAUCCCGUCUUUGACACGGACUACCAAUGCUUUGUGAUGCGCUCUCAAAGAGUCGCGUUGUUUGGGAAUGCAGCGCAAAAUGGGAGGUGAAUUCCUUCUAAAGCUAAAUAUUGGCGAGAGACCGAUAGCGAACAAGUACCGUGAGGGAAAGAUGAAAAGCACUUUGGAAAGAGAGUUAAACAGUACGUGAAAUUGCUAAAAGGGAAACGCUUGAAGUCAGUCGCGUCGUCCGGAACUCAGCUUUGCUUCGGCUUAGUGCACUUUCCGGUUGACGGGCCAGCAUCGAUUUUGACCGCUGGAAAAGGGCUGGAGGAAUGUGGCACCUUCGGGUGUGUUAUAGCCUUCAGUCGCAUACAGCGGUUGGGAUCGAGGAACGCAGCGCGCCUUAUGGCUGGGGUUCGCCCACAUUCGCGCUUAGGAUGCUG